This 432-nucleotide unclassified non-coding RNA is filed under the name soil metagenome. RNAcentral's name for it is "partial contains 5.8S ribosomal RNA, internal transcribed spacer 2, and large subunit ribosomal RNA". The stretch from base 1 to 120 matches the Rfam family "5.8S ribosomal RNA", at positions 35 to 154 of the family's 154-position model. The record is from RNAcentral.
GAUGAAGAACGCAGCGAAAUGCAAUACGUAAUGUGAAUUGCAGAAUUCAGUGAAUCAUCGAAUCUUUGAACGCAUAUUGCGCUCUCUGGUAUUCCGGAGAGCAUGCUUGUUUGAGUAUCAGUAAACACCUCAACUUCCAUAUCUUUUUUGAAAUGGGAGUUGGACUUGAGUGAUCCCAACGCUUUUCCUCACCGAAAAGUGGCGGGUUACUUGAAAUGCAGGUGCAGCUGGACUUUUCUCUGAGCUAUAAGCAUAUCUAUUUAGUCUGCCUAAAAAACAGAUUAUUACCUUUGCUGCAGCUAACAUAAAGGAGAUUAGUUCUUGUGCUGACUGAUGCAGGAUUCACAAAGACGGCUUCGGCCGACUUUGUAAACUCGAUCUCAAAUCAAGUAAGACUACCCGCUGAACUUAAGCAUAUCAAUAAGCGGAGGA